AAAAAUAACGAUACGGGACUCUAUUGAGGCCCCGUAAUCGGAAUGAGUACACUUUAAAUCCUUUAACAAGGAUCCAUUGGAGGGCAAGUCUGGUGCCAGCAGCCGCGGUAAUUCCAGCUCCAAUAGCGUAUAUUAAAGUUGUUGCGGUUAAAAAGCUCGUAGUUGGUUCUGCGUGCCGCGCUGUCGGUUCGCCGCCUGUCGGUGUAACUGGCAUGUCGCGGCAUGUCCUGUCGGUGGUGAACGGAGUCCACAAUGCUACAUAGGCUUUAUAGCCGAUGUUAGCGUCGUGUGUACUUCCGUUGGCCGAUCUCUCCUACUUCGGUGCUCUUAAACGAGUGUCGAGGUAGGCCGACACGUUCACUUUGAACAAAUUAGAGUGCUUAAAGCAGGCUGAAAUAUCUGCCUGAAUAGUGGUGCAUGGAAUGAUAAAACAGGACCUCGGUUCUAUUUUGUUGGUUUUAGGAAUAUGAGGUAAUGAUCAAUGUGGACUGGCGGGGGCAUUCGUAUUGCGACGUUAGAGGUGAAAUUCUUGGAUCGUCGCAAGACGCACUAGAGCGAAAGCAUUUGCCAAGUAUGUCUUAAUUGAUCAAGAACGAAAGUUAGAGGUUCGAAGGCGAUCAGAUACCGCCCUAGUUCUAACCAUAAACGAUGCCAGCCAGCGAUCCGCCGAUGUUCCUUUAAUGACUCGGCGGGGAGCUUCCACCCGGGAAACCAAAGCUUUUGGGUUCCGGGGGAAGUAUGGUUGCAAAGCUGAAACUUAUAGGAAUUGACGGAAGGGCACCACCAGGAG
Molecule: ribosomal RNA, 790 nt
Filed under: Panstrongylus geniculatus
Lineage: Eukaryota; Metazoa; Arthropoda; Insecta; Hemiptera; Reduviidae
Description: SSU rRNA
Rfam family: Eukaryotic small subunit ribosomal RNA
Source: RNAcentral